Micropterus salmoides (largemouth bass) is the source of this 1274-nucleotide long non-coding RNA. RefSeq lists it as uncharacterized. The transcript has 5 exons. NCBI's taxonomy places the organism in Eukaryota, Metazoa, Chordata, Actinopteri, Centrarchiformes, Centrarchidae. The record is from RefSeq and is a predicted model, not a curated record.
AAAGAAAAUACAUCCAGAGCACUGUUUGAAACGUAGUCUGGAAGAAAUGGACCACAAAAUACACAAUGCAUGAAUAAUAGUGUUGACACUAGGCUAAAUGUUACCAGGGUUUGAGUUAGACAAUAGUUGCGAACGCAAGCAGAAUAAGGCUAUUACCUGCCUUAGAUGUACUUUAACCAGUUUGAAUUUUUUGAAAUCACUAAAUAGGGUCGAUUUAGGUGGUCAUCAAAGUACAUAUAAAGUCACCUUUUAGGUCUGCAAAGCUGUUUAUUAUAAUUGGGUUUUAAUUACAUUGGAAAUCCAUUAAAACGGUGAAAAUACUGUGUGCGCUUGCGCAGUGAAAGCCAUCAGUCAAUUCUCCCUCCUGUUUUAGUAACGGUUACAGGUGUGACAGCAGAUAUGUUAAUGAGAUGUGUUUACUUUUUGUAGCGUCAAGUUAAUAGAAUUAUAUAGGAGUGGUUCCCCUUUGAAAGCUACCACAGAAGCACGAGCUAACUUAAAGAAAUGUAACUUUACAGCAAUGAGAACAGCAAGUUAGCUUAACAGCUUAACAGCAGUUUAAAAGCUCUUAAACUAACGUUAGCCUCUAAACAUUGUUGACUAUAAUAAAUCAUUGUCAGUAUGAUAUUGUUCACUUUUUGUCGCUGGAACUGGGAAUGUUUUAUUAACUAGAAACUUCAAAGAAUGGCUUUCAAUGUUUUACAAGAUGUAAUAGUCGCCCCUAUGGUUUGGUGAGGGUUGGAUCUACACACAAAUACCAACCGGGAAAAGACAGCAAGGAGGAUCACCACAUUACUGAACAGCCACGUCCUGAUGCCUGAAGGUAAAGCUGGCAUGAAGAGGCAGGGAAGGAAGGAACAAUCAGCUAAUGGGAGGAUUAUCAGCCUGGCUCUUCUUUAAAUAAGUGAAGCAAGUGUGACCUUGGAGUGAGAGGGAAUGGAUGACAGGCUGAUAUUUGAACCUGGACAUUGUGCUUCUACAGUAUGUUGUUUACCUGAACCUCUUGAGCCAACAGGACACAAACUCUUUCUGUCAGUUGUCAGAAUCAAAGACUUCAGCCUGCUUUGUUCCUGUGUGCUGAAUCGCUGCCUGCCUACCUGUUUGCCUGCCAACCUGCCUGCCAAUCUGUCCGCCCUGAACCGAGCUCUAGGACGUCAUCGUCGGACCCCUGCUGAGUCUCUGAUGCUGAUGGUCUGAGUUCUCUGCUUCCUCCCCAACCCUCUGGUUUUCCUCAAAGCACAUUGAAAAUUAAACCUGCCUGUGUUCUUAUCAUC